UUAAUUCGAAGCAACGCGAAGAACCUUACCUAAGCUUGACAUCCCAAUGACAUCUCCUUAAUCGGAGAGUUCCCUUCGGGGACAUUGGUGACAGGGGGUGCAUGGUUGUCGUCAGCUCGUGUCGUGAGAUGUUGGGUUAAGUCCCGCAACGAGCGCAACCCUUGUCUUUAGUUGCCAUCAUUAAGUUGGGCACUCUAGAGAGACUGCCAGGGAUAACCUGGAGGAAGGUGGGGAUGACGUCAAAUCAUCAUGCCCCUUAUGCUUAGGGCUACACACGUGCUACAAUGGGUAGUACAGA
This 298-nucleotide ribosomal RNA is filed under the name Clostridioides difficile. RNAcentral describes it as "partial 16S ribosomal RNA". It matches the Rfam family "Bacterial small subunit ribosomal RNA", at positions 946 to 1243 of the family's 1533-position model. The record is from RNAcentral. Lineage: Bacteria; Bacillati; Bacillota; Clostridia; Peptostreptococcales; Peptostreptococcaceae.